This 1422-nucleotide long non-coding RNA is filed under the name Olea europaea subsp. europaea. The record is from RNAcentral. Lineage: Eukaryota; Viridiplantae; Streptophyta; Magnoliopsida; Lamiales; Oleaceae.
UCCAUCUCAAAAUUAGCCCCUGUUUGGCCCCCAUUACGAGGAAAAUUUAAUGUAUAGAAUAGUGUUUUUUGAAAAAUGAGUGGUUGAAAAAGAAAGAAAAUUUUUUUAUUUACGUGUAAUAUUAUUUUAUGGAAGAUUGUGUGGUUGAAAAUAGGAGAGAGAAAAAGUAGAAUGUAAUGUAAUGUAAUUUAAUGAAAAUCAAACAAGGACUUAGUAAAAAGGUUGAAAAAAGGUUGAAUGAUCGUAAUGAAAUGUUAUAUGAAAUUGAGUGAUUAUAUUGACACUAAAUGUGAAGUCAAGCAGCAAUGGUGAAAAUUAAGUUGGACGGCCACAAUGAAAUAUAAAAUGGAUUAUGGUGGUUGAACACCAUGGUGUACAGACUCUUCACAUAUGAGAUGGCCCAUCAUUAAUAAAAAUAUUAGUGGACCUGAUGAGGGAACUAUACACCAUGCUGUAUAACAAGCAUCGUUGAUAUAAAAUUGGUGGGACAUUAGCGGAUGUAACCACGAAUGGCUGUUAAUAUUUUGCUGUAAAAAAUCAGGGCAAAAUCAUCGGCCAUACAGUGAUACAGAGAGGGGAAACCACGCUUAAAGAAUUCCCAAUCUCUCCAUAAACCUCAUUCUUACCUUCCAAGCUGCUAACCCUAGUAGCUCAAUGUUCCAAAUAUGCCCCUUAUUUGACUGCAAUUGAGAUCUUUGGGAUUCAAGGGACUGAGGGAGGCAAUUCUGUAAAUAAUGCAAAAAAUAAAUAAAUAAAUAAUUGUUUUAUGAAAUAUUCAUCUAAAUAUAGGUGUAAAAAUUUCUUAUUAUUUAACAAAACAAUGCUUCAAAAUCAAAAUUUCCAAACUAGGGGAAAAAUUGAAAAUAAGGCUCAGAUCUGAGAUCUUGAUCGACAAAGAGAAUCAACCAUGCCAUGGCUGCAAAAUCACCGGUUGCUCUUGAGACAGAAAAAUCUAAAAUCAAGUACAAUCCGGGUCGCCACGCCAAGAUACGGGUCGAAUUGUCUCGAUGCCUAAUUGAUGAGCUCGGAAGAAUGAGAUGCAUCAUCACAGCCUUAAGAAAUGGUGAUGGAAAAAGUGAGUAAUAGUAGAUGAAAAUGCAUAAUUUCUCGGCAAACCCAGAAGGAUGUAUAGUAAAAUCAAUGGAAUGUUUCACAAUCAUAUAUGCUGCUGCUUCCUCUGCAAUUUUCCAAGGGCUGUUGAUUUUUUGUUGCUAGUAAUGGGGAAAAAUCAUCGACUUUGAAGAGAGGCAACCACCCUUGAAAUCCCAAUCUCUCCAUAAUCCUCAUUCUUCCCUUCCAAGCUGGUAGCCCCAGACUGACCUUUGGCUCGUUAUUUAUAGUUCCCCUAGUGUUCCUACUUUACCCCUAGAUAAGGGCCAUUUUACGACAUUUGGGAAGGCUUGCUAAAUGAAUAUAAUGGUG